This 126-nucleotide ribosomal RNA is filed under the name Burkholderia mallei 2002721280. Lineage: Bacteria; Pseudomonadati; Pseudomonadota; Betaproteobacteria; Burkholderiales; Burkholderiaceae. The record is from RNAcentral.
CGCGCCGCGCUGGCCGCGAGCGCCGCCGCGAGCGCGAGCCGCAGCCAGGGCGCGAAGCCCGCGAACGACGCGCCGACGAAACCGGCAAGCGCCGCGAGCGCGGACGCGAACGCGAUCGCGCGCACG